AAGUUUCUUUCAUGUUCACAGCAUGAAUAACAGGAAUCGAUGGCUUAGUAUUUUCAUUGUGCAAAAGUACAGCUUUCAUACUAACUUUAGAUGAGACAAUAAAAAUAAAAAAAAAGUUUCCAUUCUUUGA
Molecule: long non-coding RNA, 130 nt
Organism: Limulus polyphemus (Atlantic horseshoe crab)
Lineage: Eukaryota; Metazoa; Arthropoda; Merostomata; Xiphosura; Limulidae
Exons: 3
Source: RefSeq, a predicted model, not a curated record